Molecule: non-coding RNA, 30 nt
Filed under: Rattus norvegicus (Norway rat)
Lineage: Eukaryota; Metazoa; Chordata; Mammalia; Rodentia; Muridae
Source: RNAcentral
UGCGGCUAAUCAGUGCUUUAUCACAGGACC